UACGUAGGCAGCGAGCGUUGUUCGGAAUUACUGGGCGUAAAGAGUGUGUAGGCGGUGCUCUAAGUUCGGUGUGAAAUCUCCUGCUUAACUGGGAGGGUGCGCCGGAAACUGGAGUGCUUGAGUGUGGGAGAGGAAAGCGGAAUUCCUGGUGUAGCGGUGAAAUGCGUAGAUAUCAGGAGGAACACCUGUGGUGUAGACGGCUUUCUGGACCAUUGCUGACGCUGAGACACGAAAGCGUGGGUAGCAAACAGG
RNAcentral lists this ribosomal RNA (252 nucleotides) under uncultured bacterium. Its description in RNAcentral is "partial 16S ribosomal RNA". It matches the Rfam family "Bacterial small subunit ribosomal RNA", at positions 524 to 776 of the family's 1533-position model. The record is from RNAcentral.